This is a long non-coding RNA of Bos taurus (domestic cattle), 927 nucleotides long. The record is from Ensembl. NCBI's taxonomy places the organism in Eukaryota, Metazoa, Chordata, Mammalia, Artiodactyla, Bovidae.
CUAGUAUUCUUGCCUGGAGAAUCCCAUGGACAGAGGAGGCUGGUGGGAUACUGUCCAUAGGGUCACAAAGAGUCCAACACAACUGAAGCAACUUAGCGCAUACGCACAUCCCUCGGGUACACAGACCUGGUAGUUACUGACGUCUGUUUCCCUCCUCGUAUGCUGUCACAUUUGUUAAUGUCAGAUGACAGAGAGAGUAGAGCAUCUAUCUCCUUAUAUUUAAGAACAUCUGACAGUAUGUUAUUUCUAGGUAUUGAGGGACACACUUUUCCAGGGGCAAAGGGAGAAAGAACAAUUUGCUGUCAACUGUGGCACUCCUGUCUCCAUCUCCAGUUAAUUGAGUCUUUGUCCCGCUUUGCCAAUCCCUUCCCUUCUAUCCACACUGAAGGAAAAGUAGAAAUUGACACUGGGCUUGCUGAAACAAAAGCUACAGCCCUGGGUAAUGCAAGAAGUGAGUCACAGAGUGUCCACUUUACCUCCUGGGAGCCCCAGUGUCAGGGAAAGGUGAGGAGAGUUGACCCAUUCACAAUGAUGUUGGAAAAACAAAAUUUGAAAGUACAAACCAGCAUCCAAUUUAUUGCCUUGUCCUUUGUUCUCUUUUAGGGAAACCAGCUGCUUUCAUUCAAAGACAAUCUGAAAUGGUCAACUGUGGGAGUCACCAAAGUCCUCUUUCUCCCCUCCUAACCAUACCUUCAUGGAGACCAGCUAAGGCCUAGACCGCAGACAUUUUGCUGGAUAACCGAGCUGCUGGGAAUUGACGACAUGAAAACAUGCAUUCAUGUACCAACAAAGCAAUAAGCAGAAAGGAAUCUAACCCUAAGAAGCAAAGUUAAUCCCGAAGCUCAAGCAAUGGCAACUAAGAGGACCCAGAGUGAACAGUACACAUUUGUGCUGUGGAUAAAGGUGUCUGUGAAUCAAGCAAGCAAG